GACGAACGCUGGCGGCGUGCUUAACACAUGCCAGUCGAACGGAAAGGCCUCUUUCGGGGGGUACUCGAGUGGCGAACGGGUGAGUAACACGUGAGUAACCUGCCCUUGACUUUGGGAUAACUUCAGGAAACUGGGGCUAAUACCGGAUAGGAGCUCCUGCUGCAUGGUGGGGGUUGGAAAGUUUCGGCGGUUGGGGAUGGACUCGCGGCUUAUCAGCUUGUUGGUGGGGUAGUGGCUUACCAAGGCUUUGACGGGUAGCCGGCCUGAGAGGGUGACCGGCCACAUUGGGACUGGGAUACGGCCCAGACUCCUACGGGAGGCAGCAGUGGGGAAUAUUGCACAAUGGGUGGAAGCCUGAUGCAGCAACGCCGGGGGCGGGAUGACGGCCUUCGGGUUGUAAACCGCUUUCGCUCAUGACGAAGCUUUGUGUGACGGUAGUGGGUAAAGAAGCACCGGCUAACUACGUG
Molecule: ribosomal RNA, 467 nt
Filed under: uncultured bacterium
Lineage: Bacteria
Description: partial 16S ribosomal RNA
Rfam family: Bacterial small subunit ribosomal RNA
Source: RNAcentral